AUGAACGCUGGCGGCGUGCCUAAUCCCUGCAAGUCGAGCGAACAGAUGAGGAGCUUGCUCCUCUGACGUUAGCGGCGGACGGGUGAGUAACACGUGGAUAACCUACCUAUAAGACUGGGAUAACUUCGGGAAACCGGAGCUAAUACCGGAUAAUAUAUUGAACCGCAUGGUUCAAUAGUGAAAGACGGUUUUGCUGUCACUUAUAGAUGGUUCCGCGCCGCAUUAGCUAGUUGGUAAGGUAACGGCUUACCAAGGCAACGAUGCGUAGCCGACCUGAGAGGGUGAUCGGCCACACUGGAACUGAGACACGGUCCAGACUCCUACGGGAGGCAGCAGUAGGGAAUCUUCCGCAAUGGGCGAAAGCCUGACGGAGCAACGCCGCGUGAGUGAUGAAGGUCUUCGGAUCGUAAAACUCUGUUAUUAGGGAAGAACAAAUGUGUAAGUAACUAUGCACGUCUUGACGGUACCUAAUCAGAAAGCCACGGCUAACUACGUG
RNAcentral lists this ribosomal RNA (496 nucleotides) under uncultured bacterium. Its description in RNAcentral is "partial 16S ribosomal RNA". It matches the Rfam family "Bacterial small subunit ribosomal RNA", at positions 29 to 507 of the family's 1533-position model. The record is from RNAcentral.